Molecule: ribosomal RNA, 110 nt
Organism: Bison bison bison
Lineage: Eukaryota; Metazoa; Chordata; Mammalia; Artiodactyla; Bovidae
Source: Ensembl
GUCUCCGGCCCUAUCAACCUGAAGGCCUCUGAUCUCGGAAGCUAAGCAGGGUCGGGCCUGGUUAGUAUCUUGGAUGGGAGACCACCUGGGAAUCCCGGGUGCUCGAGGCU